RNAcentral lists this ribosomal RNA (496 nucleotides) under uncultured bacterium. RNAcentral describes it as "partial 16S ribosomal RNA". It matches the Rfam family "Bacterial small subunit ribosomal RNA", at positions 28 to 506 of the family's 1533-position model. The record is from RNAcentral.
GAUGAACGCUGGCGGCGUGCCUAAUACAUGCAAGUCGAGCGAACAGACGAGGAGCUUGCUCCUCUGACGUUAGCGGCGGACGGGUGAGUAACACGUGGAUAACCUACCUAUAAGACUGGGAUAACUUCGGGAAACCGGAGCUAAUACCGGAUAAUAUAUUGAACCGCAUGGUUCAAUAGUGAAAGACGGUUUUGCUGUCACUUAUAGAUGGAUCCGCGCCGCAUUAGCUAGUUGGUAAGGUAACGGCUUACCAAGGCGACGAUUAGUAGCCGACCUGAGAGGGUGAUCGGCCACACGGGAACUGAGACACGGUCCAGACUCCUACGGGAGGCAGCAGUAGGGAAUCUUCCGCAAUGGGCGAAAGACUGACGGAGCAACGCCGCGUGAGUGAUGAAGGUCUUCGGAUCGUAAAACGCUGUUAUUAGGGAAGAACAAGUGUGUAAGUAACGAUGCACGUCUUGACGGGACCUAAUCAGAAAGCCACGGCGAACUACGU